GACGAACGCUGGCGGCGUGCUUAACACAUGCAAGUCGAACGGAAAGGCCCUGCUUGCAGGGUACUCGAGUGGCGAACGGGUGAGUAACACGUGGGUGAUCUGCCCUGCACUUCGGGAUAAGCCUGGGAAACUGGGUCUAAUACCGGAUAGGAGCCAUUUUUAGUGUGAUGGUUGGAAAGUUUUUUCGGUGUAGGAUGAGCUCGCGGCCUAUCAGCUUGUUGGUGGGGUAAUGGCCUACCAAGGCGGCGACGGGUACCCGGCCUGAGAGGGUGGACGGCCACAUUGGGACUGAGAUACGGCCCAGACUCCUACGGGAGGCAGCAGUGGGGAAUAUUGCACAAUGGGCGCAAGCCUGAUGCAGCGACGCCGCGUGGGGGAUGACGGCCUUCGGGUUGUAAACUCCUUUCGCUAGGGACGAAGCUUUUUGUGACGGUACCUAGAUAAGAAGCACCGGCUAACUACGUG
RNAcentral lists this ribosomal RNA (465 nucleotides) under uncultured bacterium. Its description in RNAcentral is "partial 16S ribosomal RNA". It matches the Rfam family "Bacterial small subunit ribosomal RNA", at positions 28 to 507 of the family's 1533-position model. The record is from RNAcentral.